Molecule: ribosomal RNA, 267 nt
Filed under: uncultured bacterium
Lineage: Bacteria
Description: partial 16S ribosomal RNA
Rfam family: Bacterial small subunit ribosomal RNA
Source: RNAcentral
GAUGAACGCUGGCGGUGUGCCUAAUACAUGCAAGUCGAGCGGAAACGACUUCGGGUGUCGAGCGGCGGACGGCUGAGUAACGCGUAGGAACGUACCCCAAACUGAGGGAGUAACUAGCCCGAAAGGGUAAGGCUAAUACCGCAUGUGAUCUUCGGAUUAAAGCUUCGGUCGGUUUGGGUAACGGACCUGCGUAUGAUUAGCUUGUUGGUGAGGUAAAAGACUCACCAAGGCGACGAGUCAUUAGCUGGUCUGAGAGGAUGAUCAGCC